GCCCUUAGCUGGGUUCAUGAUUAAAAUCACGCAAAUGAGCUUUCGUUCUCUUACUUUUUGACUAGAAUCGAAACCAUACGCAUAAAGGUUCAGUGUCAUUUCAUCUGGAUAAAUAUGUCAUGUUUUGUUUGUUUUAUUGUCCGACAUUGAAUAUCAGAUCUCACGAGGGUUUCGUUUUAUUGACUCUGGAAGAGAAAGCUUACAGCAGAUCUACGGAGCAACACUAUUAUUUAUUCUAACAAACAGCUGUUAACAUGAUGGGAUGCAGUUUUUUGCUCACACUGUUUGUUUUGCUCCUUCAUGGUGUUUUUGGUGAUGACGUGGUGACAGUGAUGGAGGGAGAUACAGUCACUCUAAACACUGAUAUAAUCAAAAAAGAGCAUGACAAGAUGCUGUGGUAUUUUGAAGACACUCGCAUCGCUCUGAUUAAUGUACAUCCCAACACAAGCUGUUUAUAUGAUGGUGAAGACGGAAGAUUCAGAGACAGACUGAAGGUGGACUAUGAGACUGGAUCUAUGAUCAUCACUAACAUCACAACUGAACACCUGGACGGUUAUGAAGCAGAGAUCAUCAGAAGUGAGAGUUCAGGAAAAAGACAAAGUUUAAACAGAAACCGCAAGUGUGACAGCACCAAAAUCACCAAAAAAAUCAGCAUCAGUCAUGAUGAUACUAUAAAAACUUUCAAUGUGAUCAUCACUGCUGCUCUGUCCGAUCAAGUCAAAACUGAUGAAGAGCCCCGUAUGGAGAAGAGGGAGUUUUGACUUGGCUGUUCUAGAUUCAGGUCUGUCUUCAGCUGCUUUAGCAGGAAUUGUUGUUGGUGUUUAUUGCUGUUCUGCUGCUGCUGCUGUUGUAGCUGCUGCUGCUGUGCUUCACUAUCGCCGCAGGAGCUCCAGAAAUACAGACAUGGAGAAAACCAAGUAUGAAGGAUUGCUCAGAUGAGAAAAGAUACUGUACUGAAAACUGACAUCACACUAAGAUCUGUGUUUGAUUUCACCUGCAUGGACAAAAUCAUCCUAAGUAAAAAACUACAGUCAGACAAACAUGUGGAAAAAACAC
Cyprinus carpio (common carp) is the source of this 1056-nucleotide RNA transcript. RefSeq lists it as uncharacterized. Lineage: Eukaryota; Metazoa; Chordata; Actinopteri; Cypriniformes; Cyprinidae. The record is from RefSeq and is a predicted model, not a curated record.